This 468-nucleotide ribosomal RNA is filed under the name uncultured bacterium. RNAcentral's name for it is "partial 16S ribosomal RNA". It matches the Rfam family "Bacterial small subunit ribosomal RNA", at positions 28 to 507 of the family's 1533-position model. The record is from RNAcentral.
GACGAACGCUGGCGGCGUGCUUAACACAUGCAAGUCGAACGGAAAGGCCCUGCUUUUGUGGGGUGCUCGAGUGGCGAACGGGUGAGUAACACGUGAGUAACCUGCCCUUGACUUUGGGAUAACUUCGGGAAACUGGGGCUAAUACCGGAUAGGAGCUCCUGCUGCAUGGUGGGGGUUGGAAAGUUUCGGCGGUUGGGGAUGGACUCGCGGCUUAUCAGCUUGUUGGUGGGGUAGUGGCUUACCAAGGCUUUGACGGGUAGCCGGCCUGAGAGGGUGACCGGCCACAUUGGGACUGAGAUACGGCCCAGACUCCUACGGGAGGAAGCAGUGGGGAAUAUUGCACAAUGGGCGGAAGCCUGAUGCAGCAACGCCGCGUGCGGGAUGACGGCCUUCGGGUUGUAAACCGCUUUCGCCUGUGACGAAGCGUGAGUGACGGUAAUGGGUAAAGAAGCACCGGCUAACUACGUG